ACAUCAAAGGCGACAUUAUUUCGUGAGCUCAUGAAGGUGCCUCAGUGCAGCAGCAAUUAAAAAAACAAACACAAAAUUUCAGUUUGAGAUCUCACUCAGUGGAGGAAUCGUCUUCCAUCUUCAUCUGUUUUGUGGUAGGUUUGCAGUUUACUUUUUUACCCCAAAUUCGAGCUCCUGUUUGUAAUUUGCUCCCAACCUGAUCGACAGGAAACUGCUUUGCAGCAAAACCAAAUGCAAGAUAGUGUGACAACGCUUCCUUCUUGAGUGGGAACACUGUCUGCUACGAUUGAGAUGAAUUUAUGGUUGUAGGAUAUUGAGAUUACAAUAAAUUUGUCAUUUUUCUCUGUUUGUGAAGAUGGAAAAUUUAGCAGAUCUUCUCACAGAUGCAUUUUCAGAGACUUCUGUCCCAUCGUUCCACGAUGAAGAUCUGGACUUUGAGAGUCUUGGUUUUAACGAUCAGAGAUGGAGAGAAAAUGCAGAAGACACGACGACAGAUGAAGCUUUGCUCCAGGAAGCAGCUGCUGAGAGCGGAGCUUUGUUAAACGAAGACGUUUUGUUUGUGGCGGAGAGAGCUGACGAAGAGAGGGACAGCGAUGAAUCUCCUGAGGUAAACUUUGAAGAUGAAACACCAGAAAAAGAUUACGAAAGCUCCGAUGAAGAUUCGGAUCAGGAAGGUUCAGCCUCUGGAGAAGAUGAAGAGGUCGGAUCAAGUACAGCAGAGGAACCAGGGGAAUUGUUGAUGGAAGCUCCCUACCUCGGUGGUGAUAAAGAGGACAAGAUCUUCACUGAGGGACGACCUUUAGACCCAGAGGGUGGUGAUAACCCUCAAGUUAGAAACAAAACACACAGUGAGGUUGAAGGUGAGGUGGAUGUGGGCUAUUUUGGUGGCGUCCCCGAACGAAGCAGUGAGAUGAUGAUGAUGAUAGCGAUGAAGGAGGAUGAGCAAGAAAGAGAGUCUGAGGGCAUGAAAGAAAAACAUGCGGAAAGCGCUCCGUCGGAUGGCAGGGAGGAUCCGUGCUCGGAUGGGAAAACCAGCGAGACGUUUCCAGACAUAUCGCUGGAAUGUCUGCAGGAUCUGAUUGAUGAAGUUGAUGGUGAGGAAGAAUGUGUGGAGAAAAUAGCCGAAUUUUCUGGGGAGGAGCACCAGGAGGCAGGUGAGAGCUUUGCAGAUUAUCCCUCGGACUUUUCUUCCUGUGAAUACACAGAAGGAGGGGGAAAUGAUCCUGAGCAGAAGAUGAACGCUGAACCCUCUGCAAGGCAGGAUAUGAAUGUGGAGGAAUCUGCAGCAGGAUCAAAGACUACAGCUGAGGUCUUUGAUGAUGAGAAGGAAGAUGAAGUCCUGUACAGCAUAGAUCUGGAGAUGAAUACGAUGUUGAUCCAGGAUGAGGGACAACAUCAGCUUCUUUUGGCUGCAAGUGGAGGGGAUGAUGGAGACGAGACUGGGGAAAGUGGCUCCUCCAGUUCCAGCGAUGAUGAUGAGAAACUGACUCCAGAGGAAUCCGAAGAGAACAUGAGUUUACACGACGCUAUCAGCGCUGAGCUGACAGGGAACAUUCAGCUUUACGGUGACGGCAUUGCCAUGCUGUCCAGGUGGGGAGCCUCAGAUGACCAUCACUUCACAGAUAACUCAGAUGAAUUCACAAGUUUUGACCUUCUGAAAACUGACAACGUACCUUUUGAAACACCGUUGGGCACACCACCUUCAGAUGUGAACUGCAGUCCAGAUGAAGAUCUGAGCACAACGUCACAAAAUGAGGAGAGAAAAAAGGCAACUCUUUCCAAUCAGGGAUCGAUCGAUGAUGACUUUUUGUUCGAAAAUGAACAAAGUAGCACCUGGAACGAUGAGCAGGGGGAACUAGGAGACGAUGAGGAUGAAAAAGACAGAUGGGAACAAGAACAUGAGAGAAUUGAGGCUUUCUACAAGUUUUACAAUGACAGUGAUGAGGACAAUGCAGGAGGAGGUAAGUGUUUAUGACACAUACAUAUAAAAAUCAGCUGUAUCCUCUGUUUAAUGUAAACAAAUACUCUAACGUUAUGCUUUCAGAGAGGCAAACAAAAGUUCAGUUUUGUUCAAACCCCUUAUCCCAAGUCAUCCACUAUGACAAUGAAAGGUGAGCAGUCGUCUAACAGAAAAAUGUAAAUAUGACUGAAUCAAAUCAGCAAGACUUCUUCCUGUUUUUUUGUUUUCUCAGUAGUGACAGAGAUUCAGACACCAGCUCUUCAAACAGAGAGGAGGAUCUUAACUCUGCAGAAAGAUCAGAGGUAAAUCAUGAUCGUUCAAUUUUAUCACAACAGCAACAACUUUAGAACAGCUGAAGACUGGGAGGUGUAAGGGCACAAAAAGUCAUCAAUGUGCAAAAAUGAAAGGCAGAUGCUGUGCAAAGAGGCAGUUUAUGCAAAAAUGAAAUCUAUAAAAAAAAAGGAGUAUUAUUAAAUAUAUAAGAACAAAUGUGGGUUCAAUUUCCAACGAAGGUACAGAUGGGUUUGAGUGGGGUGUGGCUUGUGGAAACAGAUGAGUCUUCACAGCAGACACCCACAAUAACGCAUAGAUGCUCUUUUAUUUAUUUAUUAAAUCAGGAGCUACUGGAAACAGAAGACAGAUCGCUAAUCACACCUACAUCUGAUCCCCCAACCGAUCAGCAGCCAGAAAGACCAGCAGAUGUCAGCGACGCACCCGCCUGCACAGAACAGCAUGAGGUGCCCUCUUGCAUGUCUUCACUGAAAGUUGCUUCUUAACAGUUCCUCCAGCUCAACCUCGUGACCCUGUCCUCUUUUCUCGCAGAGUCCCCGGCUGCUGAAGCUGGUUCUGAAGAUGGGUGUGAUGAUGGUGAUGGGCCUGCUGAUGUUCUGUCUGACCACAGACCAGGCGGACUGGUUCAGUCAGUUUUUCUUCUUCUAGGACAUCAGCUAAUUUUGUUAUUGAAACUUUUAAAGUGGAAAAUAAAAAUACAUGUUGACAUUGAUGACAUGAGUGGAAGAAAUAAACUUCUUUAAGCUAUUUUGACAUGAGUGAAGAUUAGAUCACUCUGAUUUAAAUAACACUGACUGAUUGAUGUAUAUACAUGACUAAAUUCGUGAGCUUUUUCCUUAAUUUUUUGGUAAGUUUUACUGAUUCUUUUUGUUGUUACAAAAACUGAAUGUUUAUAAAUCUCAAAAUAAAAUACUCUCCUC
RNAcentral lists this long non-coding RNA (3171 nucleotides) under Oryzias javanicus (javanese ricefish). Its description in RNAcentral is "lncRNA (ENSOJAG00000008054.1)". Lineage: Eukaryota; Metazoa; Chordata; Actinopteri; Beloniformes; Adrianichthyidae. The record is from RNAcentral.